This is a small nucleolar RNA of Humulus lupulus (European hop), 88 nucleotides long. RefSeq annotates it as small nucleolar RNA snoR114. The record is from RefSeq and is a predicted model, not a curated record. The transcript has a single exon. NCBI's taxonomy places the organism in Eukaryota, Viridiplantae, Streptophyta, Magnoliopsida, Rosales, Cannabaceae.
GAGCUGUGAGAAUGUAUUGCGCUCUAUAGAUGGAUGGGUCUAUCUCAGCAGUCUGAUCUUUGGACGAAAUGUCAACGCUUCUGAUCUC